GAGUUUGAUCAUAGCUCAGAUUGAACGCUAGCGACAAGCCUAACACAUGCAAGUUGUGCGAAUUUUAUUUGUAAAAUUAGCAGCGAACGGGUGAGUAAAAUACAAGAAUCUGCCUUUUAGUAUUAGAAAAGUAUAUAGAAAUGUAUAGUAAUUCAAUAUAAAUCCUAAUGGAUAAAGUAUGGGAACGCCAUAUGCUAAUAGAAGAGCUUGUAUCGGAUUAGUUAGUUGUUAAAGUAAAUGUUUAACAAGACUAUGAUCCGUAGUUGGUCUUAGAGGAUGAACAACCACAUUGGGACUGAGACACGGCCCAAACUUUUAAGGAAGGCAGCAGUGGGGAAUAUUGGACAAUGAGCGAGAGCUUGAUCCAGCUAUGUCGCGUGUGUGAAGAAGGCCUUAGGGUUGUAAAACACUUUCAACAAAGCAAGAAGAAAGAGUAUUUUAAUAAAAUAUUUUUUUUGACGAUAUUUGUAAAAGAAGCACCGGCUAACUUCGUGCCAGCAGCCGCGGUAAUACGAGGGGUGCAAGCGUUAAUCAAAAUUACUGGGCGUAAAGGGUGUGUAGGUUGUUUUUGAAAGUUAAUUGUAAAAGUUAUUAAAGCAAUUUAAUAAAGCAAUUAAUACUAAUAAACUUGAGUAUAAAAGAAGAAAUUAGAAUUUCAGGAGUAGCAGUGAAAUGCUUAGAUAUCUGAAGGAAUACUAGUGGCGAAGGCGUUUUUCUAUUUUAAUACUGACACUGAUACACGAAAGCAUAGGGAGCAAACAGGAUUAGAUACCCUGGUAGUCUAUGCAGUAAACGAUGUCAACUAUUUAUUAAAUAACAUAUUUAUUUUUUUUUAGUGAAAUUAAAAACUUGUAUUUUUAGUAAAAAAGCUAACGCGUUAAGUUGACCGCCUGGGGAUUACGACCGCAAGGUUAAAACUCAAAUGAAUUGACGGGGGCUCGCACAAGCGGUGGAGCAUGUGGUUUAAUUCGAUACAACACGAAAAAUCUUACCUACUCUUGACAUCCAAGGAAUUUAUAAAGAGAUUUAUAGGUGCUUGCAAAAGAAUCUAAACACAGGUGCUGCAUGGCUGUCGUCAGCUCGUGUCGUGAGAUGUUGGGUUAAGUUCCGCAACGAGCGCAACCCUUAUUAUUAGUUGCUACGAAAGAGCACUCUAAUGAAACUGCCGGUGACAAGCCGGAGGAAGGUGGGGAUGACGUCAAGUCCUCAUGGCCUUUAUGGGUAGGGCUUCACACGUCAUACAAUGGUGCAUACAGAGGGUCGCCAAUCUGCAAAGAGGAGCUAAUCCCAAAAAGUGCAUCGUAGUCCGGAUUGGAGUCUGCAACUCGACUCCAUGAAGUCGGAAUCGCUAGUAAUCGCGGAUCAGCAUGUCGCGGUGAAUACGUUCCCGGGUCUUGUACACACCGCCCGUCACACCAUGGAAGCAGGUUUUACCAGAAGUGAGUAGCUUAACCGAAAGGAGGGCGCUUACCACGGUAAGGUUUGUGACUGGGGUGAAGUCGUAACAAGGUAGCCGUAUCGGAAGGUGCGGCUGGAUCACCUCCUUUCUA
Molecule: ribosomal RNA, 1550 nt
Filed under: Candidatus Carsonella ruddii
Lineage: Bacteria; Pseudomonadati; Pseudomonadota; Gammaproteobacteria; Oceanospirillales; Halomonadaceae
Description: bacterial SSU rRNA
Rfam family: Bacterial small subunit ribosomal RNA
Source: RNAcentral